This 274-nucleotide ribosomal RNA is filed under the name uncultured bacterium. Its description in RNAcentral is "partial 16S ribosomal RNA". It matches the Rfam family "Bacterial small subunit ribosomal RNA", at positions 523 to 796 of the family's 1533-position model. The record is from RNAcentral.
AUACGGAGGAUGCAGGCGUUAUCCGGAUUUAUUAGGUUUAAAGGGUGCGCAGGCGGUCUUUUAAGUCAGUGUUGAAAGUUUGCAGCUUAACUGUAAAAUUGGCAUUGAAACUGUAAGACUCGAAUAUGUUAGAGGUAGGCGGAAUGUGUAGUGUAGCGGUGAAAUGCUUAGAUAUUACACAGAACACCAAUUGCGAAGGCAGCUUACUAUACCAUUAUUGACGCUGAGGCACGAAAGCGUGGGUAGCGAACAGGAUUAGAAACCCCGGUAGUCC